GUUUGACGCUUGACAAGCUCGUUGGGAGCUUGUGGAUGAAGCGGGUCAAACGGAUCAAGAACGGAAGGAAAAGCAUGGCAUGGAUGCGAGGUACCUUUGGGACGCAGGAAGACGAUCAAGCUCAGCGAAGAACCGAACACGAUAUAGAUACACGCUUCCGCACAUUGCCACGUUGUAAAUUUUAAACAACGAACUCAAUUACGUUAUGU
This 209-nucleotide long non-coding RNA is filed under the name Helianthus annuus (common sunflower). RNAcentral describes it as "sRNA HanXRQr2_Chr15g0697801". The record is from RNAcentral. Lineage: Eukaryota; Viridiplantae; Streptophyta; Magnoliopsida; Asterales; Asteraceae.